AUACGUACCUUAACGGUGUCUAUGGCUGGUCAUGAAGGGUUAUGGCCUAGGUUAGUGACUUCCAUUGCACUUUGGAAGGGCGCUUGCCUAAGAUCCAUUCUCAUAGAGGUGGAUUAUACGUCAUAAUUUGAUUUUGAGUGGGUGUGAGGUCCACGCUGCCCCUGC
Papaver somniferum (opium poppy) is the source of this 165-nucleotide small nuclear RNA. RefSeq annotates it as U1 spliceosomal RNA. Lineage: Eukaryota; Viridiplantae; Streptophyta; Magnoliopsida; Ranunculales; Papaveraceae. The record is from RefSeq and is a predicted model, not a curated record. The transcript has a single exon.